AUUUAGCGAGCUGAGUGGGGAGGAGAGAGGGACAGAGAGCCUGCUUGCUUUAAAGGAGCCAACCGGACAGGAGCCGCUUACACUCGUGUAAGCGGCUCCUCUCCUCUCCCGCUUUGCUCCUUUAAAGCAAGCAGGCUCUCUGUCCCUCUCUCCUCCCCACUCAGCGGCUCUUCUC
RNAcentral lists this microRNA precursor (175 nucleotides) under Podarcis lilfordi (Lilford's wall lizard). The record is from RNAcentral. Lineage: Eukaryota; Metazoa; Chordata; Lepidosauria; Squamata; Lacertidae.